UUUAAAUAGCUGCAGUAUUUUAACUGUACAAAGGUAGCAUAGUAAAUAGUCUUUUAAUUGAGGUCUGGAAUGAACGGUUUUACAAGAAAACCACUUUAUUUAAUUGAUUGGGUUGAAUUUAAUUUUUUAGUUAAAAAGCUAAAAUUUUUAAAUGGGACGAUAAGACCCUAUAGAUCUUUAAAUUUUUAAGAUUAAAUACAUUUUAGGUUAUAUAGGGUUUUUAAUAAAAAUUUUUUGUUGGGGUGACAAAUAAAAUUUUAAUACUUUAUUUCUUAAAUACAUAAAUUUAUGAAUAAAAAUGAUCCUAAAUUUUGGAAUACAAAAAUAAGAUACCUUAGGGAUAACAGCGUAAUAAAUUUGUACAGUUCAUAUAAAUAAAUUUGUUUACGACCUCGAUGUUGAAUUAAUUAAAAUUCUUGGAGCAGAAGUUAAGAUUUUAGGUCUGUUCGACCUUUAAAAUAUUACA
Molecule: ribosomal RNA, 466 nt
Filed under: Ecdelphax cervina
Lineage: Eukaryota; Metazoa; Arthropoda; Insecta; Hemiptera; Delphacidae
Description: partial 16S ribosomal RNA
Source: RNAcentral